CCUGGCAGCUAGCUCUCUGCAACUCUCACAUGGUGGUCCACUGAAGCUAAGCAGGGCUGUGCCCGGUCAGUACCUGGAUGGGAAACCACAAGGGAAAGCUACUGGAAGUGAUGUCAGUG
RNAcentral lists this ribosomal RNA (119 nucleotides) under Danio rerio (zebrafish). The record is from RNAcentral. Lineage: Eukaryota; Metazoa; Chordata; Actinopteri; Cypriniformes; Danionidae.